This 414-nucleotide ribosomal RNA is filed under the name uncultured microorganism. RNAcentral describes it as "bacterial SSU rRNA". It matches the Rfam family "Archaeal small subunit ribosomal RNA", at positions 459 to 872 of the family's 1478-position model. The record is from RNAcentral.
CAGCCGCCGCGGUAAUACCGGCGGCCCGAGUGGCGGUCACUAUUAUUGGGCUUAAAGCGUCCGUAGCCGGGUUGGGAAGUCCUCCGGGAAAUCUGGCCGCUUAACGGUCAGAAUGCCGGAGGAUACUCCCAGCCUAGGGAGCGGGGGAGGCCGAGGGGAUUCCCGGAGGAGGGGGGAAAUCCUAUAAUCCCGGGAGGACCACCUGUGGCGAAGGCGCUCGGCUGGACCGCGUCCGACGGUGAGGGACGAAGGCCAGGGGAGCAAACCGGAUUAGAUACCCGGGUAGUCCUGGCUGUAAACGAUGCGGACUUUGUGUCGGACAAGCUAUGAGCUUGUCCGGUGCCGGAGGGAAACCGUUAAGUCCGCCGCCUGGGGAGUACGGCCGCAAGGCUGAAACUUAAAGGAAUUGGCGGG